This 246-nucleotide long non-coding RNA is filed under the name Elaeis guineensis (African oil palm). RNAcentral's name for it is "long non-coding RNA (EGUI_LNC011523)". Lineage: Eukaryota; Viridiplantae; Streptophyta; Magnoliopsida; Arecales; Arecaceae. The record is from RNAcentral.
CCGACCUUCAGCUGGAUUCUUUGUGCAACCAGACCUCUCCAACAGAUAAGUCUUCAAACGAGCUUCUACAUCAUACAAAUUCCGAUCAGACUCCUCCAAUAGGAGGUUCCUAUCCGAGCUUCUACAGCGAAUGACUUCCGUCUGCAGCACCAACGGCACUCAACAACAGUUAACCCAUCAACAACCUCGAAAACAUCCGAACUUCUCCCAGAUUGCAGAGACAGAGAGCCAUUCUACUCCAUCAGA